Molecule: ribosomal RNA, 442 nt
Filed under: uncultured bacterium
Lineage: Bacteria
Description: partial 16S ribosomal RNA
Rfam family: Bacterial small subunit ribosomal RNA
Source: RNAcentral
CCUACGGGUGGCAGCAGUAGGGAAUCUUUCACAAUGGGCGAAAGCCUGAUGGAGCAACGCCGCGUGCAGGAUGAAGGCCUUCGGGUUGUAAACUGCUUUUAUAAGCGAGAAAUAUGAUGGUAACUUAUGAAUAAGGAUCGGCUAACUACGUGCCAGCAGCCGCGGUCAUACGUGGGAUCCGAGCAUUAUCAGGAGUGACUGGGUGUAAAGAGGUUCGUAGGUGGCAUAAUAAGUAGCUAGUGAAAUCUGGUGGCUCAAACAUGCAGACUAUUAGGUAAACUGUUAAGCUCGAGACCGUUAGGGGUAAGUGGAAUUGCUGGUGUAGGAGUGAAAUCCGUAGAUAUUAGAAGGAACACCAAUGGCGUAGGCAGGUAGCUGGGACGGUUCUGACACUAAGGAACGAAAGCGUAGGGAGCAAACGGGAUUAGAUACCCCAGUAGUC